RNA transcript from Homo sapiens (human), 4032 nucleotides. It is a transcript of the gene named CASTOR family member 3, pseudogene, with no coding region annotated. The transcript has 7 exons. Lineage: Eukaryota; Metazoa; Chordata; Mammalia; Primates; Hominidae. The record is from RefSeq and is marked validated.
AGCUGCUCCCCGCGCCGGCACCCGCGCGCCGCUGCUCCGCCGGCGCUGCCUCCCUCGACCCGUGGCUCCCCCUCGCAACUUGGCGGGCCUCCUCCCUUUUGUCCGGCCCGGUCCGGCCGCCGCCGCCCCCCGCGCCUGGCGCCGAGCUCCCGGGUCCCCGGGCCGGCUGUCGGUGCCGGCAGGGCGCGGAGGGGGCGGGGGCCGCGGCUCGUCCCCCAGCGGAUGAGCUGCCGCGGACGGGGCGCGGGCGGACGAUGGAACUCCACAUCCUGGAGCACCGGCUGCAAGUUGCCAGCGUCGCCAAGGAGAGUAUCCCGCUGUUCACCUACGGGCCUGAUCAAACUUGCCUUCCUGUUCUCCAAGACCAGGUGCAAGUUCUUCAGUCUGACUGAGACACCAGAGGAUUACACUAUCAUUGUCGAUGAGGAAGGAUUCCUAGAGCUGCCCUCCUCGGAGCACCUGAGUGUGGCGGAUGCCACCUGGCUGGCCCUGAACGUGGUGUCCGGCGGUGGCAGCUUCUCCAGCUCCCAGCCUAUUGGCAUGACCAAGAUCGCCAAGUCAGUCAUCGCCCCACUGGCUGACCAGAACAUAUCCGUGUUCAUGCUGUCCACGUAUCAGACAGACUUCAUCCUGGUGCUCAAGCGGGACCUGCCCUUUGUCACCCACACGUUGUCAUCAGAGUUCACCAUCCUGUGGUCAGUGGCUAGACUGUAGCAGCCGAGAACCUCGGCAUCACCAGUGGCUUCGUGAAGCCCAAGCUGGUCCAGAUGCCGGUCAUCCACCCACUGUCCAGCCCGAGCAACAGGUUCUGUGUCACCAGCCUGGACCCCGACACGCUGCCUGCUGUUGCCACACUCCUCAUGGAUGUCAUGUCCUACUUCAAUGGGUGAGGAUACAACUAGAAGCCAGCAGUCUACAGGCUGGAAGAAGGCCCUCACCAGAACCCAACCCUUGGACUUCAGCCUCCAGAACUAUUCAUUCAGCUUUUCCAGACCAGGCAUCACCGAGCGGAGAGAGGGGAAACACCCUGGCUUCUCUUUGGCACAUCAGCCCCUAGUUCUUGAGAGAGAAGGGCAGGGUGGUCUACUCACCAUGUCUGUAUCCUGCCGUUCUUCAUUUGACUCAUCCUGGAUUUCUAACUCUUCUUCCUCGUCCUCUUCCAUAAGGCUGAGUCUGAUGUAGGGGCAAAGAGACUGGCUUUUCAAACUGUUCUUUGAGGACCCCUGAGAGUUUCUCAGACACCCGGGGUGGGGGAAGUGGGGAGCAGUAAGUACAGCAUAGUAGUUUCCCGAUUGUGCUGACAGGAAGUGCUCUGUGGCUAAAACAAGUCCAAAAAGCACCCACAGAGAGGCAAUGGGUGAGACAGGAAUCCCCUCACAGUGGGCGACAGAUCUGAAGUGAAGACAGGAGAUGAUGAGAAAAGCUCACCGCAUCAGCUGGUUGCCCAGGCCAGGACCUGAAGGGUUGUGUGGAGUCUGGAAAUAUUGUGGACCCAAGAACCUUGACCUCUCGGUGCCUGCGACGGGCUGACUGCUGGGAAUGAAGCAGGAUCAAUGAUGGGAUAAAAAUCAAGGGUAAGAAGAGGAUGUAAGGCAGCUGGUGUUAAUGGGGAGAAAAGCUCAGAGAGAUGCAUUUUAAAGCUAAACAAUGGAGAAGGGUUUGAGAAGAACCCAACAAUGUGGGAGUGCUACAGCAGGGAACCAUGAAACAGAAACAGCAAGAUGGAGGCAGCCAGACACCAAACUGGGAACUCAGACACCCAGAUUCCCUCCAUGGCCUCACCCCUGGGCAAAAUCCAACUCUGAGCCAUCUUCUUCCUCCAUCUCUUUCAACCCCCACAGGGGCUGCCUGCUCUUCACAGCUGUGGAGGUGAGGGUGGGCGUGGGCGGGAUGCUGUUCAGCUGCAGACUUUCUUCCUGGGACGAGGAGACGUCCUCUCUGUUAGGCUUGGCAGGCCCUGCCAAGCAGAUGCAUACAUUAACCACAGCCCAGGGCCUGCGACAGGUGUGCUCUCUUUCCAAGACCUGCCCAGGAUUUAGUAAGGGAAAGUCAAUCAGGAAGAGAAUGGAAAACUUAUACAGCUUCAUUCUGUUGCCCUCAAAUGGGCAUAGCCCUAUGUACUAAAUACAUAGCCCUAUGUACCAAAAAGUAAGGCUUAGAGAAUUGUAGCUAGGCCUUGUCCAAGAAGAACUUGCUACACAGCCUAGAAAACAAGAUGGAAAGAUAUAUAAAUAUACAUUUCACAGAUAAACUGUAACAGGUGAACAGGUGAACACAAACAUGAGGGAGGGUUGGAGUCUCUAAGAUUGAGAGGUCUGAGUUAGCCAAUGAAGACAUCUGAGAUCCUAUCCAAGAUUUCUGUGGUCAGAAAAAGCUGUAAAUGGCAAUAGAGUUUUGGUACCAGAGGCUAGAGUGGACAAAUGAGGGCCAGGGAGGAACCGGAAAAUGGGAGACAGGAUUUUCUAAAAGCUAGAAAAAAAUGAAGUGAUUGCAAUGCCAGUAUAACUGAUAUGAUAUGAAGGGGGACUUAUCUCCUGCAGAGAUUGGAGAAGGUAGAGGAGGAGAAAGAAUCCAAAGAUUCUCACUGCCUGAGAAAACCCAGGCAAUACUAUUUUAAAGCAUCAGUCAAAUUGACAUUAACAUCUGUUAACUGUAAACAGUCACACUCCCAUUACCCCCCUUCUCCACUAAAAACAAUAAUCCCAAAGUGAGCGCUCAGCCUAUGGGUUUAAGCAGAGGGCUACAGAAAACAGGGAAGAGACAUACCCCUGGGCUUGGAUUCCCAGAGAGGAAACCUUGGGGCCCCAGAUGUGUCCUCCUGAUCUCCCUGAGCUAUUAAUGGUGUGAUGCCCGAGGGCUGGGCCCUUGAGUCUCUCCUCUUCUCCAUCUUCACUGGCUUCCCCAGCCACUCACGUUCAUGUCCUUAAAUAUCACCUAUACUCUGCCACAUCCCAAAGGGAUCUCAAGCCUUCAGCUCUCCCCUGAACUCCAUCUUAACAGCCCCCAUGGUUUGUUCAACAUCUCCACCUGUAAUCCUGUGGCCAACACCAAUGCCCCAACCUUCCCCCACAGCUAUCUUCACUCUCUGCCUUCCCCAUCUCAGAUACUGUCAACUCCAUCCUUCUGUCAGGCCAAAAUCCUUGGAGCCAUCCUCAACUGCUCUUUUUGUCUUACAUCCCACAUCCAGUUUGUCAGAAAAGCCUAUUAGAGAUACCUUGAAAAUGCACCCAGAAUCUGGCCGUUUCUCGGCACCUCCACCAUUGCCCCCGGCCUAAGAAGCUCUCUUAUCUUGCAUCUUGGGCUGGACUCCUACAACAGCCACAACCUCCCUGCUGGUCUCCCAGCUUCUAGCCUUCCCCCAUCUCCUGUCGUUUUCGACACAGCAGCCAGAAGGAUCCUUUAAAAACAGAGGUUGAUCCUGUCGUUCCUCAAAAUCCUCCAAUGGUUUUCCUACUGCACUCAGAGUAAAAGCCAGUCUCUGCCUUAGAUGCUCUGGGAUCCUGUACCCUCUUUGGUCUCAUGUCCUACAAUCUGCAUUCUGGCCAUAAUGGUCUUCUCUGCUGUUCCUUGAACAUUCCAGGAACAUUCCCCCCAUCCCCUCGUGGCCUCAGGACUGGCUGCUUCCUUUGGUAUGCUAUUCUGAUACACACUAAGCACCCUCCCUCACCUGUUAUAAAAAAUUCGCUGGGAGGCCAAUAGGCUGAAAUGGCUCCUGCACUUUGGGUUCCUAAGUCAGCAAACUGAAACUCAACUCAGAGUGAAAGUGUUGUGUGUAACCUAGGAGCAGGAAACUUCAGCUUAACCAGUCAGAAACUACCGACUAACCUCUAACAAGAGAUUUAUGGUCAGUUAACCUCUAAAUAUGAACUUUCCACUCUAACCAAUCAAAUAGUUUCUUUGUCUUGCUCCCAGAGACACCUUGUAAGUGUCCCCUCUGGUUUCCUCGGUGGUGGCGCCCUGAACUGCUGGCGGUCUGCCACUGCCUGAUUGAUAAAAUUGCUGAAUGCUCAAAUAAACCUGUUAAAAUUGUAA